Molecule: long non-coding RNA, 3903 nt
Filed under: Heterocephalus glaber (naked mole-rat)
Lineage: Eukaryota; Metazoa; Chordata; Mammalia; Rodentia; Bathyergidae
Description: lncRNA (ENSHGLG00000045732.1)
Source: RNAcentral
CUGUGCGCAAUUGCUGAUGUCCAUCAUGUCCUCUCCUAGGGGCCGCUUCAGCUAGCAGCCUCCUCCAAGGCCUCAGCUUCAGCCUGCAGGAUAUCAGCGGCAAGAGUUCCGGCCUCCCCACAACCCCCUCCUCAGGGCUGGCUGCACAGGCCUGAAGGUCCCAACCACCAUAACUCUGACUCUUCGUGGCCAGCCGAGCAGGAUCACCACCUUGAGUCCCAUGGGUUCAGGGGCUGCGGGGCCCGAAGAGCCCAUGUCCCAGACGCUGGCCUCCAGCUCACAGCGCCUGCCUCCUGCACCCUGAAGAUGCCAUGAGGUGUGUCCUCCUUACCAGGUGGUGAUGGCUGCUUCACAGUGGCUGUGGGCACGUGUGCAUCCUGCUGAGCUGUUGGAGUGUCUGAAGACUUCUUUAUAGCAGUCGUUUUGCCUCUCUGCCAGCUGUCUUCAGGGUCAGGCCUCUGGGUCUCAAGCUACCAUGUGGCAGUGACAUGGCACCGGCAAGGGGGCAAGGAAAGCAGUACCCUCCAGCAUCUGCACUCUGGUUCCUGGAACACCCACCCUCCUCUUGGAUCCAGCAUCAUGUACCAGAAGGCACUUCUUCCUCGCGAUGAUGUGGUUGACCUGAGUGCUUUUGGACUGCUCAUGAUAUCUAAUAAAGGACCCUCCUUUCUGCAGUCUGUCCUCCCUGUUCCCACCUGGAGGAGAGGGUCACAUGGUCUGGGGCUGCAGAGGAUCGGGAUCAUCCUGGCCCACUGGCAGGUCAGAGAGCUGUUGUGGACAUCUCUGUUGCUUCAAGUAGCCAAGGACACUUUUUAAGAAACUGUACCAUGUACAGAGUAGCCUGCUAGGAGUGCCCAUAUGGAGGCAAAGAAAACUGACACAUCCUCUCUGCCCCUUGGCCACUCUAGGAUGUGGGAAGCAGUGGUCCCCACGAGGUGAGAGCUGGCCCCUUCCUCUUUUCAUCAUGCUUUGGGCAGUUCCUGUACCUGGAGAGUCUGCAGGUCCAGAGGGGCUGAAGAGGGAGGCAUGAAGUGCCCUGUGGCACAGACAGUUUGAGCUUGGGGCUGUGCAUCUGGCCCCUGAGGACCUGGUGAUUAGCUAGAGAUGAAAAACAGAAUUUGCCAAGUCAGGGAAACCCCAACCUCUGACAGCCCUGUCUCCAGAGCAGGGUUAGGCGGGGCCAGCAGCUAAGGUAAUAUCUUGGCCCAGAAGCUUGGGCCAUCAAGACAACCUUGGUCCUGGAGAACCUGAGCCUCAGGACGAUGAAGACCGAGCUCCAGUGUUUCUGUUCACACUUCUCACUUCCUGCCUGGAGGUGGGGAGAUUUAUGGUGGCUGUUCUACUCUUGGUGCCAGCCUGAGCCUUUUGGGCCGUGGUCCUAGUGAAAGGCUCCCUGGGGAUGGAGUGCUGAGGCCCUCCUGACCUCCUCACAGGGCGUGUGUGCAAUGUGUUAUGGGAUUUGGAUCCACACCUGUGCUCCAGAUCGGGCUCCCUUCCCUUCCAUACUUAGAAUGUUUCCAGUCAGGGAAUGAGGCACCUUGACUGUGACUGUUCAGUCCAGGGUCCCGACCCCCAGUGUGGUGUUCAUCCAGACCAGGCCAGCUGUCAGUCCCACCAGAAGGAGCACACUGUGCUUGGUAGUCACAGACAAGGCAGUUUGGGGGGUGUAUGUGGUGGGAGUGUAGAGGGUUCCCUAAACCCCCGGCCCUCUCCCUCAUCUCCUGCUCUGAUUCACACAGAAUUAGGCUGUAUUUUUGCAUUAGCUGGUAGGUUAUUUCAGAAGGCAUCUAGGAAGAUAUGAAAUUUAAGGAAGAUAUGAAAUCUGAAAGGCAUCCAGGGCUGGGCAUUGACAGCUUUAUAGGUAGAAUCAAAACACAGCAAAAGAGCAGUAAGAUGAGGCUCUGUGAAGCCCAGAGGACAGACGGAGGGCCCUGAACACGCUCACAACUGAGCAGCACAGCCUGGACCACCCCAGUGCUGCUCUUGAAGGACACUGGCCUGGGUGUACUGGGACCAGAGAGCCUCACCAGUCAACCUGCCUUUGUGCUGUCUUCCAUGUGCUCUUUGGGUGACUGCUGACUUUAAAACUGGAGAGUGGGCUCAACACUGAUCUUCGCUGAAGCAGAGCCAGCCUGUGGCGGAAGAGGUUGAAGUCUAUAGUGUCACCUUCCCCAGGCCCCCUCCCAAGCCAUACUUCCCACAGUGUCUGCCUGUCUCACAGCAGGCUUGGAGGCCACGACCUCAGAAGGUCUUGGCGAAAAACGUAGAAGGAUCAAGAAGGCUUUAAAUUCUUGGACAACAGAGGCAUGUUGCUGCCCUGUAGAUACCUUUGGGCUUCAGAGGAGGUCACUGCAAGGCCAAAGACCUGCCCUCAAGUGGUUCACCACCAGAACAGUCUUGGCUGGAGCUGACCUGCUGUGUUCUUACUUAGCAGAAACAAUUAAAAACACCAAAACCAACCCUUUUUUUGUUUUCAUUUGACUUCACAUGUUUGUUGUUCUGGGUACCACCCAAUGAGUGGGCCCAGAAAACAGUUAACAGUGUGAUGCCAGUGGUGGUCUCACCAAGGUCAGGUGCUGUGAGGUGGGUACUGUGCUUUCCUUUUUACCUGAGAGGAAACAGGCACAGAGAAGUCACAGGCAGAGGCAGAGCAGUACUGGAACCCAGGUGGUCUGAUGGCUGCACUGCUCUGCUCCGUGCUGGGGUCCUGAGAUGGCGACCAGCAAUGUGAGCCCAGGAUAGGUGUCAGCUUGGCCUCAGUGUAACCCUUCUCACAUUACCUCCCCCAGGCCACAAGCAAUGGCUGCUGCUCCCAUGGGGCUCUUGACCAGGACUGAGUCUGGGAGUCCUAAGUCCUUGGUCCUAGAAGACUUCGUGUCCCUUUGCACGUUCUGUACCUGCACCCCUGCUCCCCAGUAAGUAAGACUUAGAAAUGGGUGGGUAGAUCCCAGCCUCCAGGCUAGUUGUAAUCAUGUACAGACAUCCUCGUUUAAUGACUUGAGUUCCUUUCCUGAGACUAGGUCGUUAAUUGAAUUGGUCACUAAAUGAAGAAUUGUAUACAGUAUAUGCGUUACAAUAUUCAGAACAAAAAUGGUCAGGGAAACUCCAGGUUGAUGAUUUUGCUUUUAUUUGCAUGACUUCUAUGCAGUACUGUGAUGUAGAAUAGAACAACCGAAAUAUCUAGUACUGUAAUAUAUAGUACCAUCAACAGAAAUCAAAGCACUGUUCUGUAGAAGAAGCCACCACAAGGCCACACUGCUGCUCACAUUCCUGCACUGUUAAUCUGAAUGUGGGUCAUAAGUCCAAACCAUCAUUAACUAGGUUGGUCAUUGAAUGAGGAAUGCCUGACUCCCCAAGCUUGGCAUUGGCAUCCUUUGGUGGAGGCUGGGGCUGUGGGAGGGAACCCUCCUUUAGUACUUCGCCUGCUCCUUCUCUGCACCCAUCUUACCAGCUUUUGUGAGCAAGACAGCGAGGGCUUAGGUUGUAUAAAUGACAGCUGUCUUUUACUUCAGGAGGGCAGGAGCUGGGGCACAGAAACUUAAGAUGCAACAAGCCUUUGUUGAUCAUUCGCAGUCAGCAUAGCUGGAACAGGACAUGAUCUCAGGCGUUCUGUAGAUUGGUGCCUCUGCCACGUGCCUUGUGUCUACUGACUCCGACCUGCAGGGUCCAGUUUUGAUCCUGUUAGGACACACCAGCCAGAGUACUUUGGGGAUGGCUGGUCUCUGUUCAGAUUCAGAAGACAGCCUGAUUGACUGAACUCACUACAGGCCAGUUCUUGGCCUUCCCACCUGUUCAGUGGUAGUGUCCAGAGGAGGAGGUCACCUGGUUCCUGUUACCUUCCUAAGUGGUAAAGAGGCUAUACACUUGUGUGGACGCACACACACACAUAUCAUGAAUGACUAC